AGUGAAUGCUAGUGGUAUGCUUAACACAUGCAAGUCGAACGUAACAAAAUUAUUUGUUAAGUGGCGUACGGGUGAGUAAUGUAAAAGAAUAAAUAUUGUAGUACAGAAUAAGAAAUAUUUAUAUUUGUAUAAAUACUGUAUAAAAAAAUAAUUUUAUUUAAAUAAAGAUUAAUCGCUACAAAAUAAGCUUUUAUAGGAUUAGGUAGUUGGAAGUGUAAUGGACUAACAAGCCUAUGAUCCUUAGUUGGUCUGAGAGGAUGAUCAGCCACAUUGGGACUGAAACAAGGCCCAAACUUCCAUGGAGGGCAGCAGUGAGGAAUAUUGGACAAUGGGCGAAAGCUUGAUCCAGCAAUAUCACAUGAGAGACGAAGGCUUUAUGUCGUAAAUCUAUUACGUUAAGGAGGAUAAUGACGUGUACUUAAAG
This 424-nucleotide ribosomal RNA is filed under the name uncultured bacterium. RNAcentral describes it as "bacterial SSU rRNA". It matches the Rfam family "Bacterial small subunit ribosomal RNA", at positions 29 to 465 of the family's 1533-position model. The record is from RNAcentral.